CAAUAGAAGAGAUGGCGACCGGCGCACGGGUGAGUAACACGUAUCCAACCUACCGAUAACUCCGGAAUAGCCUUUCGAAAGAAAGAUUAAUACCGGAUAGUAUACGAAUAUCGCAUGAUAUUUUUAUUAAAGAAUUUCGGUUAUCGAUGGGGAUGCGUUCCAUUAGUUUGUUGGCGGGGUAACGGCCCACCAAGACUACGAUGGAUAGGGGUUCUGAGAGGAAGGUCCCCCACAUUGGAACUGAGACACGGUCCAA
This 256-nucleotide ribosomal RNA is filed under the name uncultured bacterium. RNAcentral describes it as "partial 16S ribosomal RNA". It matches the Rfam family "Bacterial small subunit ribosomal RNA", at positions 78 to 334 of the family's 1533-position model. The record is from RNAcentral.